This is a long non-coding RNA of Gambusia affinis (western mosquitofish), 809 nucleotides long. RefSeq lists it as uncharacterized. NCBI's taxonomy places the organism in Eukaryota, Metazoa, Chordata, Actinopteri, Cyprinodontiformes, Poeciliidae. The transcript has 4 exons. The record is from RefSeq and is a predicted model, not a curated record.
CGCACUUUGGUGCAAAUCCUCUCAGCACAUCAGCAGCAGCUUGCAGAGCAACAGGACAGAUACCAGAACCUUAAACUUUAAAAGAACAAAAAAAAAAAACCCAAACUGGUUUUACUUUUGCUUUAGGAUCCUCAAAACUCCCAGCAUUGAGUGAGAACUCAGCUUUGAGUUCAAUCGUCCGUUUUAACACAUCAUCACAGUGAGCCACAGCUCCCCAUAAAUAAUUAGAGUUAAUACGACGCCCCUUGAACUUGACACCUUUUGAUGUCUGUGAGCUCUUCACAGCCCUUGCAGCAGCGUCAGAGAAAGGAAGGGAGAAAGAGGAACACAAGGCAGAGAGAGCAGCCGCUUUGUGAUCGGCUGAUUCUCCCCCGUGACACAGCAGCCGGGGAGGAGGCGACUCCGGCUCCAUGGCCUCCCUGUUCACCCAACUCGAGGUGUGGACCAUCAUGUUCUCCAUCCUGGUUUUUGCGCUCUUCACACUCGCUGGGAUGAUCAGCGAAGAAUGUCCGUACACUGAAGAAACUACUGAUAGAAGACAUCAGGAGACGUCGGUGUGACUCAUCUGCUAAUGGUCAGCUUGUGAGAAAAACGUAGCCUGUUCCUGUCCCAGUGUAACCUACUUCCAGGAUGAGGCACAAAGGAGUGGCCAAAUUGUUCAACUAAAAAAAGCAAUAAAGAGACACCUGCUCCAACAAAGUGGCUCACCACAGCAUCGCCUGGCCGCUCACCCUGCAGGAUUUCCAGAGACAACACCGGGAGAUUCCUCUGUGAACUUUGAACCUGGAAAACAGACUGUGUGUCUCUCC